RNAcentral lists this ribosomal RNA (495 nucleotides) under uncultured bacterium. Its description in RNAcentral is "bacterial SSU rRNA". It matches the Rfam family "Bacterial small subunit ribosomal RNA", at positions 19 to 518 of the family's 1533-position model. The record is from RNAcentral.
AUGGCUCAGGAUGAACGCUAGCGACAGGCCUAACACAUGCAAGUCGAGCGGCAGCACCUCGGGUGGCGAGCGGCGCACGGGUGAGUAACGCGUAUGUAACCUGCCCAUGAGUGGGGGGAUAGCCCGGUGAAAACCGGAUUAAUACCCCAUGACACCAUUGUCUGACAUCAUUUAAUGGUUAAAGAUUGAUUGCUCAUGGAUGGACAUGCGUUGGAUUAGCUAGUCGGCGGGGCAACGGCCCACCGAGGCUACGAUCCAUAGGGGUUCUGAGAGGAAGGUCCCCCACAUUGGUACUGAGACACGGACCAAACUCCUACGGGAGGCAGCAGUGAGGAAUAUUGGUCAAUGGGCGGAAGCCUGAACCAGCCAAGUCGCGUGAAGGAUGAAGGUAUUAUGUAUUGUAAACUUCUUUAGCUGUGGAGAAAUAAGGGGCUCGUGAGCCCUGAUGCUAGUACACAGAGAAUAAGGAUCGGCUAACUCCGUGCCAGCAGCCGC